UACGAAGGGGGCUAGCGUUGCUCGGAAUCACUGGGCGUAAAGCGCACGUAGGCGGACUCUUAAGUCGGUGGUGAAAUCCUGGAGCUCAACUCCAGAACUGCCUUCGAUACUGGGAGUCUUGAGUCCGGGAGAGGUGAGUGGAACUGCGAGUGUAGAGGUGAAAUUCGUAGAUAUUAGGAAGAACACCAGUGGCGAAGGCGGCUCACUGGUCCGGUACUGACGCUGAGGUGCGAAAGCGUGGGGAGCAAACAGG
Molecule: ribosomal RNA, 253 nt
Filed under: uncultured bacterium
Lineage: Bacteria
Description: partial 16S ribosomal RNA
Rfam family: Bacterial small subunit ribosomal RNA
Source: RNAcentral